UCGGUGACAGGUGGUGCAUGGCUGUCGUCAGCUCGUGUCGUGAGAUGUUGGUUAAGUCCCGCACGAGCGCAACCCUUAUCAUUAGUUGCUACGCAAGGGCACGUCUAAUGAGACUGCCGGUGACAGACCGGAGGAAGGUGGGGAUGACGUCAAGUCCUCAUGGCCCUUAUGGUAGGGCUUCGCACGUCAUACAAUGGUCGGUACAGAGGGUUGCCAAGCCGCGAGGUGGAGCCAAUCCCAGAAAGCCGAUCGUAGUCCGGAUUGUUCUCUGCAACUCGAGAGCAUGAAGUCGGAAUCGCUAGUAAUCGUGAAUCAGAAUGUCACGGUGAAUACGUUCCCGGGCCUU
RNAcentral lists this ribosomal RNA (346 nucleotides) under uncultured Thiobacillus sp. Its description in RNAcentral is "bacterial SSU rRNA". It matches the Rfam family "Bacterial small subunit ribosomal RNA", at positions 1028 to 1382 of the family's 1533-position model. Lineage: Bacteria; Pseudomonadati; Pseudomonadota; Betaproteobacteria; Nitrosomonadales; Thiobacillaceae. The record is from RNAcentral.